RNAcentral lists this ribosomal RNA (460 nucleotides) under uncultured bacterium. RNAcentral describes it as "partial 16S ribosomal RNA". It matches the Rfam family "Bacterial small subunit ribosomal RNA", at positions 338 to 795 of the family's 1533-position model. The record is from RNAcentral.
CCUACGGGUGGCAGCAGUGAGGAAUAUUGGUCAAUGGGCGUAAGCCUGAACCAGCCAAGUCGCGUGAGGGAUGAAGGUUCUAUGGAUCUUAAACCUCUUUUAUACGGGAAUAAAGUGUGGGACGUGUCCUAUUUUGUAUGUACCUUAUGAAUAAGGAUCGGCUAACUCCGUGCCAGCAGCCGCGGUAAUACGGAGGAUCCGAGCGUUAUCCGGAUUUAUUGGGUUUAAAGGGUGCGUAGGCGGCCUUUUAAGUAAGCGGUGAAAGUCUGUGGCUCAACCAUAGAAUUGCCGUUGAAACUGGGGGGCUUGAGUAUGUUUGAGGAAGGCGGAAUGCGUGGUGUAGCGGUGAAAGGCUUAGAUAUCACGCAGAACCCCGAUUGCGAAGGCAGCCGGCCAAGCCAUGACUGACGCUGAUGCACGAAAGCGUGGGGAUCAAACAGGAUUAGAUACCCCAGUAGUC